Molecule: ribosomal RNA, 433 nt
Filed under: uncultured bacterium
Lineage: Bacteria
Description: partial 16S ribosomal RNA
Rfam family: Bacterial small subunit ribosomal RNA
Source: RNAcentral
AACGAACGCUGGCGGCAUGCCUAACACAUGCAAGUCGAACGAAACCGUCGUGUCUAUUUGCGCACGUGUGCUUGACACGUGGUAACCUACCCUUAGGUUCGGUAUAACUCCCCUAAAGAUAUGCUAAUGCCGCUGAGUGUCUUCUGGCCAAGGAUUUAUGGCCUUUGGGUGGGCGCUCGUUGGUUUAGCUAGUUGGUAGUGUAAAAGCAUACCAAGGAGACGAUCCAUAGCUGGUAUGAGAGGAUGGUAAGCCACACUGGGACUGCGACACGGACCACAAUGCUACGGGAGGGAGCAGUGGGGAACACUGGACGAUGGGCGCAAGUCUGAUAAAGCAAUGUGGGGUGAGUGAUGAAGGCGUUAGGGUUGUACAGCUGCUUUACACGGGAUGAGAAUGACAGUAACGGGAGAAGAAGCUCCGGCUAACUACGUG